GACGAACGCUGGCGGCGUGCUUAACACAUGCAAGUCGAACGGAAAGGCCCCUUUGUUGCUCCUCGAGUGGCGAACGGGGACGUAACACUUGCGUAACCUGCCCUUGACUUCGGGACAACUACAGCAAACUGGGGCCAAUACCGAUUAGGAAUCCUUUCUUCAAGGUGGUGGUUGGAUAGCUACGGCGGUUUUGGAUGGACUUGCGGCUUAGCUGCUUGUUGGUGGGGUUGUGGCUUACCAAGGCUUUUUCGGGAAGCGGGACUGAGGGGGCGACCGGCCACACUGGGACUGAGGGAAGGCCCAGGCACCUACGGGAGGCAGAAGGGGGGAAUAUUGCACGAUGGGCGGAAGGCUGAUGCAGAAAGGCCGCGUGCGGGAUGACGGCCUUAGGGUUGAAAACCGAUUUCAGCAGGAGCGAAGCUUGUGGUGACGGUACCUGCAGAAGAAGCACCGGCUAACUACGUG
RNAcentral lists this ribosomal RNA (465 nucleotides) under uncultured bacterium. RNAcentral describes it as "partial 16S ribosomal RNA". It matches the Rfam family "Bacterial small subunit ribosomal RNA", at positions 28 to 507 of the family's 1533-position model. The record is from RNAcentral.